AGUGAACGCUGGCGGUAGGCCUAACACAUGCAAGUCGAACGGCAGCACAGUAAGAGCUUGCUCUUACGGGUGGCGAGUGGCGGACGGGUGAGGAAUACAUCGGAAUCUACUUUUUCGUGGGGGAUAACGUAGGGAAACUUACGCUAAUACCGCAUACGACCUACGGGUGAAAGCAGGGGAUCUUCGGACCUUGCGCGAUUGAAUGAGCCGAUGUCGGAUUAGCUAGUUGGCGGGGUAAAGGCCCACCAAGGCGACGAUCCGUAGCUGGUCUGAGAGGAUGAUCAGCCACACCUGAACUUGAGACAGGUCCCGACUCCUAAGGGAAGCAAGCGUUGGGAAAUUUGGACAAUGGGCGCAAGCCUGAUCCAGCCAUACCGCGUGGGUGAAGAAGGCCUUCGGGUUGUAAAGCCCUUUUGUUGGGAAAGAAAAGCAGCAGGUUAAUACCCCGCUGUUCUGACGGUACCCAAAGAAUAAGCACCGGCUAACUUCGUG
RNAcentral lists this ribosomal RNA (492 nucleotides) under uncultured bacterium. Its description in RNAcentral is "partial 16S ribosomal RNA". It matches the Rfam family "Bacterial small subunit ribosomal RNA", at positions 29 to 507 of the family's 1533-position model. The record is from RNAcentral.